UACGUAGGGUGCAAGCGUUGUCCGGAAUUAUUGGGCGUAAAGAGCUCGUAGGCGGUUUGUCGCGUCUGCUGUGAAAACUGGAGGCUCAACCUCCAGCCUGCAGUGGGUACGGGCAGACUAGAGUGCGGUAGGGGAGAUUGGAAUUCCUGGUGUAGCGGUGGAAUGCGCAGAUAUCAGGAGGAACACCGAUGGCGAAGGCAGAUCUCUGGGCCGUAACUGACGCCGAGGAGCGAAAGCAUGGGGAGCGAACAGG
RNAcentral lists this ribosomal RNA (253 nucleotides) under uncultured bacterium. Its description in RNAcentral is "partial 16S ribosomal RNA". It matches the Rfam family "Bacterial small subunit ribosomal RNA", at positions 524 to 776 of the family's 1533-position model. The record is from RNAcentral.